GACGAACGCUGGCGGCGUGCUUAACACAUGCCAGUCGAACGGAAAGGCCCUGCUUUUGUGGGGUGCUCGAGUGGCGAACGGGUGAGUAACACGUGAGUAACCUGCCCUUGACUUUGGGAUAACUUCAGGAAACUGGGGCUAAUACCGGAUAGGAGCUCCUGCUGCAUGGUGGGGGUUGGAAAGUUUCGGCGGUUGGGGAUGGGCUCGCGGCUUAUCAGCUUGUUGGUGGGGUAGUGGCUUACCAAGGCUUUGACGGGUAGCCGGCCUGGGAGGGUGACCGGCCACAUUGGGCCUGAGAUAGGGCCCAGUCUCCUACGGGAGGCAGCGGUGGGGAAUCUUGCACAAUGGGCGGAAGCCUGAUGCAGCAACGCCGCGUGCGGGAUGACGGCCUUCGGGUUGUAAACCGCUUUCGCCUGUGACGAAGCGUGAGUGACGGUAAUGGGUAAAGAAGCACCGGCUAACUACGUG
This 468-nucleotide ribosomal RNA is filed under the name uncultured bacterium. Its description in RNAcentral is "partial 16S ribosomal RNA". It matches the Rfam family "Bacterial small subunit ribosomal RNA", at positions 28 to 507 of the family's 1533-position model. The record is from RNAcentral.